This 297-nucleotide long non-coding RNA is filed under the name Brassica rapa (field mustard). Its description in RNAcentral is "long non-coding RNA (BRAP_LNC002144)". Lineage: Eukaryota; Viridiplantae; Streptophyta; Magnoliopsida; Brassicales; Brassicaceae. The record is from RNAcentral.
AAAGCUCAGGCUAAUCUUUCCGCCAAACCCAUGCAUGAACCAGCGUUUGUGGCUAGUCACAAAGCUCAGGCCAACGUUUCACCCAAACCCAUAUAUGAUACAGCGUUUGUGACCAGUCACAAAGCUCAGGCCAACGUUUCAGCCAAGCCCAUGCAUGAACCAGCGGUUGUGGCUAGUCACAAAGCUCAGGCCAACGUUUCACCCAAACCCAUACAUGAAGCAGCAUUUGUGGCUAGUCACAAAGCUCAGGCCAACGUUUCAGCCAAACCCAUACAUGAACCAGCGUUUGUGGCUAGU